CUUCUUAAAUAACUCUUGCUUCUCUGCUUCCAAUUUAGGCAUCAAUAGCUUGAUAUAGUGCUUCAUAUAUGUCACAAACUGCUUCUUGUUGAAAGAAGUUUGUCCCUGUCAAUAACAUGGCAUAGCCAACAAAUCUCCGUUAACACAAAUUCAUAUGCACUUUUGAGAUAAGAACACUAAUAAGCAAUAGAUUGGAUGCUUAACCUGAAGCCUGAAUGUGUCGACAAUAUCGAUGACCUUCACUACAGAAUCAUCGACACUUUCAUCUUCUUCCCCACCUUCAUCCGAAGGGUUAGCACCAAUGUCUACAUCUAUA
RNAcentral lists this long non-coding RNA (316 nucleotides) under Musa acuminata (dwarf banana). RNAcentral's name for it is "long non-coding RNA (MACU_LNC006634)". Lineage: Eukaryota; Viridiplantae; Streptophyta; Magnoliopsida; Zingiberales; Musaceae. The record is from RNAcentral.